GAUGAACGCUGGCGGCGUGCUUAACACAUGCAAGUCGAACGGUAAGGCCCUUCGGGGUACACGAGUGGCGAACGGGUGAGUAACACGUGGGUGAUCUGCCCUGCACUUCGGGAUAAGCCUGGGAAACUGGGUCUAAUACCGGAUAGGACCACUGCCUGCAUGGGUGGUGGUGGAAAGCUUUUGCGGUGUGGGAUGGGCCCGCGGCCUAUCAGCUUGUUGGUGGGGUGAUGGCCUACCAAGGCGACGACGGGUAGCCGGCCUGAGAGGGUGACCGGCCACACUGGGACUGAGAGACGGCCCAGACUCCUACGGGAGGCAGCAGUGGGGAAUAUUGCACAAUGGGCGCAAGCCUGAUGCAGUGACGCCGCGUGAGGGAUGACGGCCUUCGGGUUGUAAACCUCUUUCAGCACCGACGAAGCGCAAGUGACGGUAGGUGCAGAAGAAGGACCGGCCAACUACGUGCCAGCAGCCGCCGUAA
RNAcentral lists this ribosomal RNA (478 nucleotides) under uncultured bacterium. RNAcentral describes it as "partial 16S ribosomal RNA". It matches the Rfam family "Bacterial small subunit ribosomal RNA", at positions 28 to 523 of the family's 1533-position model. The record is from RNAcentral.